AUUGAACGCUGGCGGCAUGCUUUACACAUGCAAGUCGAACGGUAACAGGUUAAGCCGACGAGUGGCGAACGGGUGAGUAAUGCAUCGGAACGUGCCCGGUCAUGGGGGAUAACGCAGCGAAAGCUGCGCUAAUACCGCAUACGAUCUGAGGAUGAAAGCGGGGGACCGUAAGGCCUCGCGCGAUCGGAGCGGCCGAUGUCAGAUUAGGUAGUUGGUGGGGUAAAGGCUCACCAAGCCGACGAUCUAUAGCUGGUCUGAGAGGACGACCAGCCACACUGGGACUGAGACACGGCCCAGACUCCUACGGGAGGCAGCAGUGGGGAAUUUUGGACAAUGGGCGCAAGCCUGAUCCAGCAAUGCCGCGUGCAGGAAGAAGGCCUUCGGGUUGUAAACUGCUUUUGUACGGAGCGAAAAGGCACUCUCUAAUACAGGGGGCUCAUGACGGUACCGUAAGAACAAGCACCGGCUAACUACGUGCCAGCCGCCGCAGUAA
Molecule: ribosomal RNA, 493 nt
Filed under: uncultured bacterium
Lineage: Bacteria
Description: partial 16S ribosomal RNA
Rfam family: Bacterial small subunit ribosomal RNA
Source: RNAcentral